RNAcentral lists this unclassified non-coding RNA (145 nucleotides) under soil metagenome. Its description in RNAcentral is "partial internal transcribed spacer 1". The record is from RNAcentral.
UAAUAAGUGUUUUAUGGCACUUUUUAAAUCCAUAUCCACCUUGUGUGCAAUGUCAGUCGAUCUUCUUUAUUGGAGAUCGACCAAACAUCAACCUUUAUUUUUAACUCUUUGUCUUAAAAAUAUUAUGAAUAAACAAUUCAAAAUA